RNAcentral lists this ribosomal RNA (175 nucleotides) under uncultured Streptomyces sp. RNAcentral's name for it is "partial 16S ribosomal RNA". It matches the Rfam family "Bacterial small subunit ribosomal RNA", at positions 338 to 525 of the family's 1533-position model. Lineage: Bacteria; Bacillati; Actinomycetota; Actinomycetes; Kitasatosporales; Streptomycetaceae. The record is from RNAcentral.
UCUACGGGAGGCAGCAGUAGGGAAUAUUGCACAAUGGGCGAAAGCCUGAUGCAGCGACGCCGCGUGAGGGAUGACGGCCUUCGGGUUGUAAACCUCUUUCAGCAGGGAAGAAGCGAGAGUGACGGUACCUGCAGAAGAAGCACCGGCCAACUACGUGCCAGCAGCCGCGGUAAUA